RNAcentral lists this microRNA precursor (96 nucleotides) under Schmidtea mediterranea. RNAcentral's name for it is "microRNA sme-mir-9b precursor". Its record names the gene sme-mir-9b. The record is from miRBase by way of RNAcentral. Lineage: Eukaryota; Metazoa; Platyhelminthes; Tricladida; Dugesiidae.
ACAAAUGUCAAAUCAAGAUUUCUUUGGUUGUUUAGCUAUAUGAAUGUCUAGGUCAUAUACUGCAUAAUCAAAGUUGUCUGAUUUGAGUAAGCUUCC